RNAcentral lists this ribosomal RNA (828 nucleotides) under uncultured bacterium. RNAcentral's name for it is "bacterial SSU rRNA". It matches the Rfam family "Bacterial small subunit ribosomal RNA", at positions 33 to 850 of the family's 1533-position model. The record is from RNAcentral.
ACGCUUUGUCUUUAAUUGAUCUGACGAGCUUGCUCUGAUUUGAUUCUAUCUGACAAAGAGUGGCGAACGGGUGAGUAACACGUGGGUCCCCUACCUCUUAGCAGGGGAUAACAUUUGGAAACAAGUGCUAAUACCGUAUAAUACCAACAACCGCAUGGUUGUUGGUUCAAAGAUGGUUCUGCUAUCACUAAGAGAUGGACCCGCGGUGCAUUAGCUAGUUGGUAAGGUAACGGCUUACCAAGGCAAUGAUGCAUAGCCGAGUUGAGAGACUGAUCGGCCACAAUGGGACUGAGACACGGCCCAUACUCCUACGGGAGGCAGCAGUAGGGAAUCUUCCACAAUGGGCGCAAGCCUGAUGGAGCAACGCCGCGUGUGUGAUGAAGGGUUUCGGCUCGUAAAACACUGUUAUAAGAGAAGAACGGCACUGAGAGUAACUGUUCAGUGUGUGACGGUAUCUUACCAGAAAGGAACGGCUAAAUACGUGCCAGCAGCCGCGGUAAUACGUAUGUUCCAAGCGUUAUCCGGAUUUAUUGGGCGUAAAGCGAGCGCAGACGGUUAUUUAAGUCUGAAGUGAAAGCCCUCAGCUCAACUGAGGAAUGGCUUUGGAAACUGGAUGACUUGAGUGCAGUAGAGGAAAGUGGAACUCCAUGUGUAGCGGUGAAAUGCGUAGAUAUAUGGAAGAACACCAGUGGCGAAGGCGGCUUUCUGGACUGUAACUGACGUUGAGGCUCGAAAGUGUGGGUAGCAAACAGGAUUAGAUACCCUGGUAGUCCACACCGUAAACGAUGAGUGCUAGAUGUUCGAGGGUUUCCGCCCUUGAGUGUCGCA